CACCAUGAGAGCUGAUUGUACCAGAAGUCGCUAGGCUAACCUUGAGUUCGUCUUGGAGGGGGCAGGCGCCUAAGGUAUGGUUGGUGAUUGGGGUG
RNAcentral lists this ribosomal RNA (95 nucleotides) under uncultured bacterium. RNAcentral's name for it is "partial 16S ribosomal RNA". The record is from RNAcentral.